Molecule: small nuclear RNA, 141 nt
Filed under: Echinops telfairi (small Madagascar hedgehog)
Lineage: Eukaryota; Metazoa; Chordata; Mammalia; Afrosoricida; Tenrecidae
Description: U1 spliceosomal RNA (ENSETEG00000023479.1)
Rfam family: U1 spliceosomal RNA
About the family: U1 is a small nuclear RNA (snRNA) component of the spliceosome (involved in pre-mRNA splicing). Its 5' end forms complementary base pairs with the 5' splice junction, thus defining the 5' donor site of an intron.
Source: RNAcentral
AUACAUUUUGUCAGAAGUGUAGAGUAUUGUGAGGCUUUCCCAUUGCACUCUGGAUGUGCUGACCCCGGCGAUUUCCCCAAAUGUGGGAAACUCAACUGCAUAAUUUGUGGUAGUGGGGGACUGCGUUCACUCUCUCCCCUU